CGCGUAGGCGGUUUGGCAAGUCUGACGUGAAAUGUACCGGUUCAACCGGGGCGCUGUGUCAGAAACUGCCAUACUUGAGGUCGAGGGAGGAGAGUGGAAUUCCUGGUGUAGCGGUGAAAUGCGUAGAUAUCAGGAGGAACACCCGUGGCGAAGGCGACUCUCUAUCUCGAUUCUGACGCUGAGGCGCGAAAGCUAGGGAGCAAACG
This 206-nucleotide ribosomal RNA is filed under the name uncultured bacterium. RNAcentral's name for it is "partial 16S ribosomal RNA". It matches the Rfam family "Bacterial small subunit ribosomal RNA", at positions 568 to 774 of the family's 1533-position model. The record is from RNAcentral.